UCAGCACAUAACUGCAUUGCUAGCAGAUACAAAAUCUUGGAAAUCAUUGAAAUUGAAAUGCAGUUCCAAGCUUGAUGUUUGUAGUAAUAGAGGGUACCUUGAGUUUUCGGAGCAGUCGAUAUUGUCAAAUCUUUAUUGGGGGAUAGAGAGUAUAGAAGCAGCACUUCAAGCAAAAUGGAGUCAAGAGAGAACAUCAAGGCUGCAGAAUUCAGAGAUUAUGCUUCAAGUGCCAGCUUCACUUGAUGAACAUGGAGAAACAGCAGGAAUUCCAAACAGUUAUUUGACAGGCUACUCAUACUUUUACCUCUCUGUUGUUAGAAAACUCCAAGGGGAUGAGUGGCAGGUUGCUAUGCAUUUUCUCCAAGCUCUUGCGGUUUCUCCUAGGCUUCUUCAUACUGAAAUUGCUACCGAACUCUGCAGACAGUUAUCGGUCUUAUGCAUUGAGAAGGAACCAUAUUCCAAAGAUGAGAAUGAAGUCUAUGCUAUGAUGGUAAAGAUGGCCAGGAGAUACAAAGCUUGGCUUAUGUAUUAUCAAAUUAUGUCUUCUGGAGAAGACGGCUCUCUGAGGAAUGGUGAGUCCAGCAGCGUGACUUCAACUCAACAUGAAUUACAACAGAUAAUGAGUAAGAAGUCCAGAAGCACAAGAUCUUCAGAUUCAUGUAAGAAUGAAAACACGCAGUGCAGCUCUUCAAAUUUUGAGAAGGUGCAUCCAUUUAAUGCCAAAAAUGAUGCUAAGAACGAGAAAGAGGAGACAAUUAUCACAUCCAAUGAGUGCACAAAGGAAAAACAGGUAGCUAUUACUGAACUGAGUGGUGUAGCAGAAAUACCCAAGAACAUAACCACCAAAUGCCUCAAAGAUAUAUUGCUUGAUUCAGAGUCAGAGACAUUUGAUUUCAGCAGCAGCAGUUCUGCAAGUGAAAAUUUUCAUGAGGAAUAUGCAGAAGACAUGGAAAUCACUUCAAAACGGAGCCUACAAAAUCAGCAAACAGAGGAUUUUUAUCAGAACCAAAAAUCUUCUCGCUCCUCACUGUUUUUGGAAAGCUUGGUUUGUAAAUCGCAAGUUUCAGGACUAAGACACAACGAAG
This 1085-nucleotide unclassified non-coding RNA is filed under the name Hevea brasiliensis (rubber tree). Lineage: Eukaryota; Viridiplantae; Streptophyta; Magnoliopsida; Malpighiales; Euphorbiaceae. The record is from RNAcentral.